AUAUUCCUGUACCGAUUCUAGAUGCGAUGUGGGGACGGAGAAGGUUAGGUCAGCCAACUGUUGGAAUAGUUGGUUUAAGCGUGUAGGCGUGCCCCUUAGGCAAAUCCGGGGGGCUUAGCUGAGGCGUGACGACGAGGUCUCUUUGAGACCGAAGUGAUUGAUACCCUGCUUCCAGGAAAAGCCACUAAGCUUCAGUCUAGAAUUGACCGUACCGCAAACCGACACAGGUGGGCAGGUAGAAGAUACUAAGGCGCUUGAGAGAACUCAGGAGAAGGAACUCGGCAAAUUGAUACCGUAACUUCGGGAGAAGGUAUGCCCUGGUAGCUUGUAGGAGAACAUCCGAAGGGCGACGGGGCCGCAGAGAAUCGGUGGCUGCGACUGUUUAUUAAAAACACAGCACUCUGCAAACACGAAAGUGGACGUAUAGGGUGUGACGCCUGCCCGGUGCCGGAAGGUUAAGUGAUGGGGUGCAAGCUCUUGAUCGAAGCCCCGGUAAACGGCGGCCGUAACUAUAACGGUCCUAAGGUAGCGAAAUUCCUUGUCGGGUAAGUUCCGACCUGCACGAAUGGCGUAACGAUGGCCACACUGUCUCCUCCUGAGACUCAGCGAAGUUGAAGUGUUUGUGAAGAUGCAAUCUCCCCGCGGCUAGACGGAAAGACCCCAUGAACCUUUACUGUAGCUUUGCAUUGGACUUUGACGGGACUUGUGUAGGAUAGGUGGGAGGCGCUGAGACCAGGACGCUAGUUCUGGUGGAGCCGUCCUUGAAAUACCACCCUGGUGUCGUUGAGGUUCUAACCUAGGUCCAUCAUCUGGAUCGGGGACCGUGCAUGGUAGGCAGUUUGACUGGGGCGGUCUCCUCCCAAAAGGUAACGGAGGAGUACGAAGGUCUUCUAGGUACGGUCGGACAUCGUACUGAUAGUGCAAUGGCAAAAGAAGGCUUGACUGCGAGACCGACAAGUCGAGCAGGUGCGAAAGCAGGUCAUAGUGAUCCGGUGGUUCUGUAUGGAAGGGCCAUCGCUAAACGGAUAAAAGGUACUCUGGGGAUAACAGGCUGAUUCCGCCCAAGAGUUCACAUCGACGGCGGAGUUUGGCACCUCGAUGUCGGCUCAUCACAUCCUGGGGCUGUAGCCGGUCCCAAGGGUAUGGCUGUUCGCCAUUUAAAGUGGUACGUGAGCUGGGUUUAAAACGUCGUGAGACAGUUUGGUCCCUAUCUGCCGUGGGCGCUGGAUAUUUGAGGGGGCCUGCUCCUAGUACGAGAGGACCGGAGUGGACGGAUCUCUGGUGUACCGGUUGUGACGCCAGUCGCAUCGCCGGGUAGCUAAAUCCGGAAGAGAUAACCGCUGAAAGCAUCUAAGCGGGAAACUCGCCUCGAGAUGAGAUAUCCCUGGGAACUUGAUUCCCCUGAAGGGUCGUCGAAGACCACGACGUUGAUAGGUCGGGUGUGGAAGC
Molecule: ribosomal RNA, 1449 nt
Filed under: metagenome
Description: bacterial LSU rRNA
Rfam family: Bacterial large subunit ribosomal RNA
Source: RNAcentral